GAUGAAGAACGCAGCGAAAUGCGAUACGUAAUGUGAAUUGCAGAAUUCAGUGAAUCAUCGAGUCUUUGAACGCACAUUGCGCCCCCUGGUAUUCCGGGGGGCAUGCCUGUCCGAGCGUCAUUGCUGCCCUCAAGCACGGCUUGUGUGUUGGGCCUCCGUCCUCCUCCCGGGGGACGGGCCCGAAAGGCAGCGGCGGCACCGCGUCCGGUCCUCGAGCGUAUGGGGCUUCGUCACCCGCUCUUGUAGGCCCGGCCGGCGCUUGCCGACACAUCAAUCUUUUUUCCAGGUUGAUCUCGGAUCAGGUAGGGAUACCCGCUGAACUUAAGCAUAUCAAUAAGCGGAGGA
Molecule: unclassified non-coding RNA, 345 nt
Filed under: soil metagenome
Description: partial contains 5.8S ribosomal RNA, internal transcribed spacer 2, and large subunit ribosomal RNA
Rfam family: 5.8S ribosomal RNA (bases 1-120)
Source: RNAcentral